Molecule: small nuclear RNA, 106 nt
Filed under: Cavia aperea (Brazilian guinea pig)
Lineage: Eukaryota; Metazoa; Chordata; Mammalia; Rodentia; Caviidae
Source: RNAcentral
GUGCUCACGCCAGCAGACAGGUACCAAAAUGAGAAUGAUGCAGAGAAGGUUUGUGUAGCCCUGGGGCAAGGAGGACACCCAAAUGAAUGAAGCUGUCCAUAUUUUA